Sorex araneus (European shrew) is the source of this 1375-nucleotide long non-coding RNA. RefSeq lists it as uncharacterized. The transcript has 3 exons. The record is from RefSeq and is a predicted model, not a curated record. NCBI's taxonomy places the organism in Eukaryota, Metazoa, Chordata, Mammalia, Eulipotyphla, Soricidae.
GACGCCGCCAGCUGAUCGGAGACAGGAGCCGGUGUGUGCUGGGCGCUGGGGAGAGACAGCGCCGCCGGCCGUGGGGGACGGACGCACUGGCUAGCUCCCCUACACUCUGCACCCCUCCACCCCACCCAGCACCAGGAGCCUGUACCUCCCAUGUCCUCACCUGGCUGAGCCGCAGUAGUUCUUCAGUGGCAAGCUUUAUGUCCUGACCCAGCUAAAGCUGCCAGUUGAAGAACUGUUGCCCUCUGCCCCUGGCUUCGAGGAGGAGGAAGAGGAGGAGGAAGAUACGGAGCUGCCUUUCCCUCAUCUGGAAGUGUCUUCCUCCAGCCCUGGGUAUGUGACUUUGUCAUGGAUGAGGAAGAGCGGCCUGGGGAAACAGAAGCAGGCAGAAGACCAAUAAAGGACCAGGCAUCCUGCAGAGGGACCCAUAAAUAAAGGCCAGAAGCUCGCCAGCAGGGGAGGACCACCAGCCUCCACCACCCCGGACAAGCCUCCAGCCAUGUAUUUCAUUCACCGCCACCCUUUCUGGCUCCCUUGGAGCUCUGGGACCCUACUAAAGUGCCCUGUGACUCCAUCCUCCUCCUACUUUUUCCCCACCCUGUCAUUUUUAUAUAUGCAGCUUCAUGGAGCAGGAGCCAGCUGUGAAAGGACAAACACAAAAAUUUCCUAAAAGAAAAUCAAAUGAUUAAGACUAUGAAAAAUGUUUGUUUCAUUAGUAAUUAAAGGAAGGCAAAUAGGAGUGAAGGCAUUUCCUCAUAACAAACAAUAACAAAAAACAAGACCCAGUUAUUGGCAAAUAAUUACUAACAAGUCCAUUCACUGCCUAUGGGGGGGUCUGAAUAUGCCCUUCUUGAGUGUUAAUUUGGUAAUAUGUGUGAAAUACCUUAAGUUUUACAUGACCUUUGACCUAGGAAGUCUACAUUUUGGAAUAUAUCUGAAGAAAAUAAUUAAAGAUUUAGUUAUAUCAUCCCAACAUUGCAAUAGAGACAAAUGGAGAGCAACUGUUUAAUUAGGAAUUCAUCUCUUUUCUGCUAUAAUGGAAAUUUGCAAUAGGGGAUUGCUUAAGUAAAUUAUUAUAUAUCCAGCCAGAUGGUGGAAUACUGCACAGCCAUUAAAAGUCCUUCAGAAGAACAUUUGACUGGAAAGAAAAGUGUUCCUUGAAUAUUAAAAAGGUUAUAAAAUAGCAUGUAUUCUGCAAUUGCUUUUUAAAAAUAUGGGUGUAUACGUGUCUACAUCAAGCAUAAAGAAGUCUGAGGGCAUAUUCCAAAAUGUUAACAGUAGUCAUUAUCUUUGAAGGGUGGAAAAAGUGUCAUUUUUCCUUACUAUCCAAAUGUUCCAUACUAUGUAUAACUUUCAUGUAAUAAAAAAACAUAAAUAU